Molecule: ribosomal RNA, 576 nt
Filed under: Bacillus sp. (in: firmicutes)
Lineage: Bacteria; Bacillati; Bacillota; Bacilli; Caryophanales; Bacillaceae
Description: bacterial SSU rRNA
Rfam family: Bacterial small subunit ribosomal RNA
Source: RNAcentral
UGGAUUAAGAGCUUGCUCUUAUGAAGUUAGCGGCGGACGGGUGAGUAACACGUGGGUAACCUGCCCAUAAGACUGGGAUAACUCCGGGAAACCGGGGCUAAUACCGGAUAACAUUUUGAACCGCAUGGUUCGAAAUUGAAAGGCGGCUUCGGCUGUCACUUAUGGAUGGACCCGCGUCGCAUUAGCUAGUUGGUGAGGUAACGGCUCACCAAGGCAACGAUGCGUAGCCGACCUGAGAGGGUGAUCGGCCACACUGGGACUGAGACACGGCCCAGACUCCUACGGGAGGCAGCAGUAGGGAAUCUUCCGCAAUGGACGAAAGUCUGACGGAGCAACGCCGCGUGAGUGAUGAAGGCUUUCGGGUCGUAAAACUCUGUUGUUAGGGAAGAACAAGUGCUAGUUGAAUAAGCUGGCACCUUGACGGUACCUAACCAGAAAGCCACGGCUAACUACGUGCCAGCAGCCGCGGUAAUACGUAGGUGGCAAGCGUUAUCCGGAAUUAUUGGGCGUAAAGCGCGCGCAGGUGGUUUCUUAAGUCUGAUGUGAAAGCCCACGGCUCAACCGUGGAGGGUCAUU